AUCAAAGAAAUGGAAAUGGCGUGCAUAUUCCACUAUUGCUUUUGCCAAUGGAUGUUCACUGCUAGCCUCUGCAGAUGCCACCCAUCUGAGGAAUUCUCCACGAUUCAUUCCAGUGAAAACCUUUGCAUUUGUAACAGUGGCUUUCCCCUGGGUUAGAGUGCCCGUUUUAUCAAAUAUGACAUACUUGAUCUUCUGAGCUCUUUCCAAAGCAUCUCCUCCUUUUAUCAGUACACCGUUGUUAGCCCCAACCCCAGUUGCAACCAUGACAGCAGUUGGUGUUGCCAAGCCAAGAGCGCACGGACAUGCAAUUACCACCACUGAAAUUGAAAACAUGAGGGCAAAAACAAAGUAAUUGCCAUUUUCUGGUAGCCAAUCAUCUGGAUAAGCACCUAUAGUUCCACCAACAUACCAACCCAAAAAUGUCAACAAAGACAUAGCAACAACAGUAGGAACAAAAAUGCUCGCCACAAAAUCUGCAAAUUUCUGAAUUGG
Molecule: unclassified non-coding RNA, 492 nt
Filed under: Hevea brasiliensis (rubber tree)
Lineage: Eukaryota; Viridiplantae; Streptophyta; Magnoliopsida; Malpighiales; Euphorbiaceae
Source: RNAcentral